GGGCGAUUAACUCAGCUGGGAGAGUGCAAGCCUUACAAGCUUGAAGUCGCAGGUUCGAUCCCUGCAUCGCCCACCA
This 76-nucleotide transfer RNA is filed under the name Desulfobacter hydrogenophilus. Its description in RNAcentral is "tRNA-Val". It matches the Rfam family "tRNA". From Rfam's summary of the family: Transfer RNA (tRNA) molecules are approximately 80 nucleotides in length. Their secondary structure includes four short double-helical elements and three loops (D, anti-codon, and T loops). Further hydrogen bonds mediate the characteristic L-shaped molecular structure. tRNAs have two regions of fundamental functional importance: the anti-codon, which is responsible for specific mRNA codon recognition, and the 3' end, to which the tRNAs corresponding amino acid is attached (by aminoacyl-tRNA synthetases). tRNAs cope with the degeneracy of the genetic code in two manners: having more than one tRNA (with a specific anti-codon) for a particular amino acid; and 'wobble' base-pairing, i.e. permitting non-standard base-pairing at the 3rd anti-codon position. Lineage: Bacteria; Pseudomonadati; Thermodesulfobacteriota; Desulfobacteria; Desulfobacterales; Desulfobacteraceae. The record is from RNAcentral. RNAcentral also lists the same sequence under 6 other names.